Molecule: long non-coding RNA, 287 nt
Organism: Tympanuchus pallidicinctus (lesser prairie-chicken)
Lineage: Eukaryota; Metazoa; Chordata; Aves; Galliformes; Phasianidae
Exons: 3
Source: RefSeq, a predicted model, not a curated record
GGCAUAUGCCUUUAAUUCCAUAGCAUCUAAGUUAAUUCUGAAGGCAUAUGCCUUUAAUUGCAUUGCAUCUAAGUUAAUUCUGCAGGCAUAUGCCUUUAAUUGCAUAGCACUUAAGUUAAUUCUGAGGGCAUAUGCCUUUAAUUGCAUUGCAUCUAAUUCAUUAUGCAGGCCUAUGCCUUUAAUUCCAUAGCAUCUAAUUAAUUCUGAAGGCAUAUGCCUUUAAUUCCAUAGCAUCUAAGUUAAUUCUGCAGGCAUAUGCCUUUAAUUGCAUUGCAUCUAAGUUAAUU